GGAGAGGUGUCCGAGCGGUCGAAGGAGCACGCCUGGAAAGUGUGUAUACGGCAACGUAUCGGGGGUUCGAAUCCCCCCCUCUCCGCCA
RNAcentral lists this transfer RNA (88 nucleotides) under Pseudomonadales bacterium. RNAcentral's name for it is "tRNA-Ser". It matches the Rfam family "tRNA". From Rfam's summary of the family: Transfer RNA (tRNA) molecules are approximately 80 nucleotides in length. Their secondary structure includes four short double-helical elements and three loops (D, anti-codon, and T loops). Further hydrogen bonds mediate the characteristic L-shaped molecular structure. tRNAs have two regions of fundamental functional importance: the anti-codon, which is responsible for specific mRNA codon recognition, and the 3' end, to which the tRNAs corresponding amino acid is attached (by aminoacyl-tRNA synthetases). tRNAs cope with the degeneracy of the genetic code in two manners: having more than one tRNA (with a specific anti-codon) for a particular amino acid; and 'wobble' base-pairing, i.e. permitting non-standard base-pairing at the 3rd anti-codon position. RNAcentral also lists the same sequence under 1 other name. The record is from RNAcentral. Lineage: Bacteria; Pseudomonadati; Pseudomonadota; Gammaproteobacteria; Pseudomonadales.